RNAcentral lists this ribosomal RNA (380 nucleotides) under uncultured crenarchaeote. Its description in RNAcentral is "bacterial SSU rRNA". It matches the Rfam family "Archaeal small subunit ribosomal RNA", at positions 471 to 851 of the family's 1478-position model. The record is from RNAcentral. Lineage: Archaea; Thermoproteati; Thermoproteota.
UAAAACCAGCACCUCAAGUGGUCAGGAGGAUUAUUGGGCCUAAAGCACCCGUAGCCUGUUCUAUAAGUUUGCGGUUAAAUCCAUAUGCUCAACAUAUGGGCUGCCGUAAAUACUGUAGAACUAGGGAGUGGGAGAGGUAGACGGUACUCGAUAGGAAGGGGUAAAAUCCUUUGAUCCAUUGAUGACCACCUGUGGCGAAGGCGGUCUACCAGAACACAUUCGACGGUGAGGGAUGAAAGCUGGGGGAGCAAACCGGAUUAGAUACCCGGGUAGUCCCAGCUGUAAACGAUGCAGACUCGAUGAUGCAAUGGCAUAGAGCUAUUGUAGUAUCGCAGGGAAGCCGUUAAGUUUGCCGCCUGGGAAGUACGUACGCAAGUAUG